AUUUAUAUAGUUUAAUUAAAAACCUUAUAUUUUCAUUAUAAAAAUAAGAAAUUUCUUUAUAAAUU
This 65-nucleotide transfer RNA is filed under the name Staphylinidae sp. BMNH 1274171. RNAcentral's name for it is "tRNA-Glu". The record is from RNAcentral. Lineage: Eukaryota; Metazoa; Arthropoda; Insecta; Coleoptera; Staphylinidae.